GUUAUUGUCUCGAAACCCAAAGAGUUUGGCGGUAUCUCAGUCUAGUUAGAGGAGCUUGUUCGGUAAUCGAUAACCCGCGAAAAAUCUUACGUAUUUUUGUUGUCAGUUUAUAUACCGUCGUUAUUAGAUAAUACUAAAAAGUAAAUAAUUAUCUAAAUAUAUCAAAAUAUAAUAUAUCAGAUCAAGGUGUAGCUUAUAAAUACGGCUGAAUGAGCAACAAUUUAAUAAUAUAAAAACGGAUUUUAUUUUUAAAUAAAUAAUUAAAGGUGGAUUUAAUAGUAAUUG
RNAcentral lists this ribosomal RNA (285 nucleotides) under Busquilla quadraticauda. Its description in RNAcentral is "partial 12S ribosomal RNA". The record is from RNAcentral. Lineage: Eukaryota; Metazoa; Arthropoda; Malacostraca; Stomatopoda; Squillidae.